UCCGUAGGAUCCAAGCGUUGUCCGGAUUUACUGGGGGUAAAGGGUGCGCAGGCGGACUUGUUAGUCAGAGGUGAAAUCUCACGGCUCAACCGUGAAACUGCCUUUGAUACUGCAGGUCUUGAAUUGGGGAGAGAGUUGUGGAAUUCCGAGUGUAGCAGUGAAAUGUGUAGAUAUUCGGAAGAACACCAGUGGCGAAGGCAGCAACUUGGCCCUAUAUUGACGCUCAGGCACGAAAGCAUGGGGAUCAAACAGG
Molecule: ribosomal RNA, 253 nt
Filed under: uncultured bacterium
Lineage: Bacteria
Description: partial 16S ribosomal RNA
Rfam family: Bacterial small subunit ribosomal RNA
Source: RNAcentral